AUUGAACGCUGGCGGCAGGCCUAACACAUGCAAGUCGAGCGGAUGAAGGGAGCUUGCUCCUGGAUUCAGCGGCGGACGGGUGAGUAAUGCCUAGGAAUCUGCCUGGUGGUGGGGGAUAACGUCCGGAAACGGGCGCUAAUACCGCAUACGUCCUGAGGGAGAAAGUGGGGGAUCUUCGGACCUCACGCUAUCAGAUGAGCCUAGGUCGGAUUAGCUAGUUGGUGGGGUAAAGGCCUACCAAGGCGACGAUCCGUAACUGGUCUGAGAGGAUGAUCAGUCACACUGGAACUGAGACACGGUCCAGACUCCUACGGGAGGCAGCAGUGGGGAAUAUUGGACAGUGGGCGAAAGCCUGAUCCAGCCAUGCCGCGUGUGUGAAGAAGGUCUUCGGAUUGUAAAGCACUUUAGGUUGGGAGGAAGGGCAGUAAGUUAAUACCUUGCUGUUUUGACGUUACCAACAGAAUAAGCACCGGCUAACUUCGUG
RNAcentral lists this ribosomal RNA (484 nucleotides) under uncultured bacterium. RNAcentral describes it as "partial 16S ribosomal RNA". It matches the Rfam family "Bacterial small subunit ribosomal RNA", at positions 30 to 507 of the family's 1533-position model. The record is from RNAcentral.